This 15086-nucleotide long non-coding RNA is filed under the name Triticum aestivum (bread wheat). Its description in RNAcentral is "long non-coding RNA (TAES_LNC010916)". Lineage: Eukaryota; Viridiplantae; Streptophyta; Magnoliopsida; Poales; Poaceae. The record is from RNAcentral.
UGCGUUGGUGACAUGGUUAUGGCCACUGUCAAGAAGGGAAAGCCUGACCUCAGGAAGAAGGUCAUGCCGGCUGUCAUCGUCAGGCAGCGCAAGCCGUGGCGCCGAAAGGACGGUGUCUUCAUGUACUUUGAAGGUAUGGCUGAGUUCUUAUUGUGAAUGGGUCAUUCUGUGCUAGUGUACUGUAGUUAUUUAAUCUGCCUAGUGAGUUUGCUGUCUAUUAAGCUGGUAGUUGCCACUGUUUAAUUUUUUGAAACCACUUGCUUUACAUGUUGUAUGGAAUUUCUGUGAAAUUACACUUGCCUGUUGUUACUUGCUGGAAGCAAAUUUAAUUCAUCAUGUACAUAUUCUAUGUCAUUGUUUCAUUAUUAUCACAUGAAGAGUGAACACCUCUUCACUGUGGUCAUUUGUCACAAUGAAGCACAUGCAAAUUGGCCAGAAGAACAUAGUACAAUCUUCUGUUGAAUUAUGUAAUUACCCCUUGGCACAUGUUAUAAGCAUCUCAGCUGAUAAACUGUUGACAUCUUUUCUUCGUCCAUGUGAGAAUGCUUUAAACCACUGCCUUUUUCCCCUUUCAUGUGAGAAUUGUUUAGUCCUGAAGCUGUCUGAGGCUUUCCGUAUAUUGCAUUCUGAUGCUUUGGCCAUUCAAGUGUUGUUGGAUCACAGUGACUGAUUUUGUCAAAAUUCAAAUCUAAUGUUUCUAUGUCAUAUUUGCAGACAAUGCUGGAGUCAUUGUGAACCCAAAGGGAGAGAUGAAAGGUAUAAAUCAGUUCUUGGUAGAUUCAAUUUUGCUCUGCAUGUUGCAUCAAUUACAGGCAAUUGGAAGUUACAAUCAUUGAAUCUGUAUUAUACAUGCUGUAUGUGAUGCAAUGCUUCUAGCUGAUUAAAGCAGAUCAAUAAAUUUAGCUUCAGUAGUUAUUUCCAUGCAACUUCUGACUAUAUCAUAGCUGGAUGAACAGCCUGACUGAUUCAAGCAUCCAUUGGUUGUGCAGGUUCUGCCAUCACUGGACCGAUCGGGAAGGAGUGCGCCGACCUGUGGCCCAGGAUUGCCAGCGCCGCGAAUGCCAUCGUCUGAUCUGAUCGCCGGAGCAGCUAGAUGAUCAAAGCUUUUGAUAGCAUGUCCCUCUUUUCUUCUAGUUUACUUGUGGCCCUUGAGGAUGAGUUUCCUGGAUUAUGUAAUGCUGCUGGAUUAUUGUCUGUUAGGUUUAAGAUUUUGCACUGUGGUUUGGCUGCUAAGAUUUGUUCAGUUUGAACCUGAAAGAGCUUUUGAUCGGAUUUAUCUCUGUUGUGUCAAGUAUUCACCUGAGAAGUCUGGCUUGAAUGUUAAUUAGUCUGUUGCUAAGUGUGAGCUUGUGAUGAACUGGUGCGUGUUUGCCAUUUUUUUUCUAAGCAUUGCUGAGAGGCCAAACUGAGCUGCAAAUAUGCAGUUGCCAUGAACAAAAAACUUGCAGUUCUGGAGAAUGCUUGGUCGAAUAAUUUGACGAUAUUUGUUAUUUUACCGUGGCAUGAGGAAACAAGUUAGUUGGUGAAUGUGACAAGGUGUGCCGCCUUGACAACUGUUCGAAAUGCAGAAACUAAAAAAAAUUGGAAAACGGUGCUUUGCUUUUCUAGGCCAAGUUGGGAGCCCAAGAACAUGGACCGAUUCGUGCUCUGUAUCCCAAAAAAUCUAUGAGAUGCAUGAAGGCACAAACAGCAACCAUGAGAGCAUUGUAAAAGAGAAUAAGCAGCGAGCAGCCCAUUUUGACUUCAAGUUUAUCUAAGGAUGAACGGCAAAUAAAGAAGCAAAGAAGCAGAUAGUUUAGCGAGUUGGCACGUCUUGAACCAGGUACAUCUAAACUCACUUUUUAAAAAAUUAUUUAAAAUAUCAAAAAAAAUAGAACAAAAUUCCGCGCAUACAUGUUUGCAAAAAAAUGUCCGCUGCACAAAGUUCUAUGAAAAAAUUCUUUUUAUUUCAUCACUGUAAAAAAGAUAAAUUUUAUUUCUAAAUAGUAUUCGAUGACACAAUGUUUUGUCUUUCUUGCACAGCCCAAAAAAUGUUGCUUUUCUGUGAAACUUUAGAAUAUGGACAUAUCCGCAUGCACCUUUUCCUAGAAUUUUGGGAAACGUUUCCCACCCUCAAGCGAUUUUCUGAUCUCUUCCUAUGCAUUUUUUUCUCUCCUUACUUUUUCUCUGGCCUUAUCGCUUCUUCAUCUCACCUCAGUCCCCACACAUCUAAAAUUACUCUCCCACUGACGCAACAACCACAAAUAUCUAGUAUCUUUCGCUGGAAUCAGCAUUAUCUUUUUGCUGCAUGAGUGCUACAGCCAGUUUUGUGCAACCCGCAAAGCUACAACCACAACCAAUCAUGAAUAAGUUUCAAUCGGAGAUGGCGGAAUCUAGGGGGUCAGUCAGUGCUGCAACCAUUGACAGAAAAGGCUUCAACCAUAGAUAAAAAAAGCUUCAACCAGGCACUGAAAAAAGAAAAGGCCGGAAACGUUGACAGAAAAAGGUUCAACAAGGAUACCGUGCAACGAAAAAAAGCUUCAACCGUUGAUAGAAAAAGCUUCAACGGUAGAUGCAAAAUAUUCAACCAGGACACUGCAAUGGAAAAAGCUACGACCAUUGACAAAAAAAUGCUUCAAUUGUAUAUGAAAAAGGCUUCAACCGGCGAUAGGAAAAGCUUCUUGGAGGCUCGCGCUUCCAUGAAAGCUGCAAUGGCCCAGCAAACUGCUACAUGAGUGCUUUUUUAGUUGUAAAUUUAUACUAGAAAAUAUGUAGAAAACAUAUAACAAUUUUGCUUCCAUAGUUUUUUUUUGUUGUGAGCUUUUUUUUGCACAAUGCUACAUACGUUCUUUUUUCGUUGUAAAAGUACUGAAAUUAUGUUACAAACAUAUGAUUUUUUUUAAUUUGUGUUUUUUAGGCUUUUGUUAUGCACUUUUUGCUGCAAUGCUACAUACAAAUACAGUUUAACAAUAGGCGCAGAUCUUCUGCGUACAUUUUUUAUUGAAACUAUUGUGUGCACAUAGCAGAGACAAGUCACAAUCAUCAUUUUGAUGGGCUCCACCCACGUGACAGCAUGCAACAUCCAUGGCGCAUGGGACAAGCGACGUCCGGGCGAUGCUGGUGGGCCACCAGCGUACAAAAAAGGAAGAAGAAAGGAACGAUGUGCGUAGACGAUCAGACGGAUUAAAAUAAUCGAAUCGGACGACCUACACGCGACCGGCCGAAACUUUUUGGGCAUUUUGAAAUUUGUUUUUUAAAAUGGGUUCAUAUGUAUUCGGAUUCAUCCAUGCACUUCUAAUAGUUUAUCUAAGUUUUUGAAUUCUCUGAAUAAGGGGUGCCAUGUUUGGUUUCAACUUGAUCNNNNNNNNNNNNNNNNNNNNNNNNNNNNNNNNNNNNNNNNNNNNNNNNNNNNNNNNNNNNNNNNNNNNNNNNNNNNNNNNNNNNNNNNNNNNNNNNNNNNNNNNNNNNNNNNNNNNNNNNNNNNNNNNNNNNNNNNNNNNNNNNNNNNNNNNNNNNNNNNNNNNNNNNNNNNNNNNNNNNNNNNNNNNNNNNNNNNNNNNNNNNNNNNNNNNNNNNNNNNNNNNNNNNNNNNNNNNNNNNNNNNNNNNNNNNNNNNNNNNNNNNNNNNNNNNNNNNNNNNNNNNNNNNNNNNNNNNNNNNNNNNNNNNNNNNNNNNNNNNNNNNNNNNNNNNNNNNNNNNNNNNNNNNNNNNNNNNNNNNNNNNNNNNNNNNNNNNNNNNNNNNNNNNNNCGUAUCACUAAAGAAAAACGCUCGACUAAGAGCAACUAUCCUUAAAAGAACUUAGCUCAUGUGUCUGAGAAAAAAACACUAUUAACUCCAACUUAGAGCAACUCGAUCAGUUCCUGUAUCCCAAAAAACAUCCCAUGUAUUGAAAAAUAAGUGCUCUCAGAGUAAGAGCAACUCCAACAACUUUCGUAUCUCAAAAUUGCCAGUCAGGGGAAGUUGAGGCCAAAAAAGCUUUUCAACAACUCCCUUGAACCCGGAAUAAUUUUAUGGGAUCCUCUAAACUAUCCUCAAACACGUCGUGUGUUUAUGGGAAGAUGAUCUUUCACUAAACUUUUGGCGUGCCAAAACUUCAGCUCCUCGCCUGCACCAAAGCCGUGCUGCCACACCACCACUACGAGGCCACCUCGCCGGUGUCGCGCAUCACCUCCUCCCCGCUCUGGUGUCCUCCCUGACGCGCGUCGCCUCCUCCCCGCUCUAGCGUCCUUCCUUGCCCUGCUCCUAACCCUACGCAUGCAGCUAAGGCAUUCGGAGAUAUUCUGGACCCACAUUUUCUAUGUUCCAAAAAAUGUAUGACAACAUCUUUGCUCAUAUUUUUUCCGUAGAUGAACAUUGUUGUACAAUCUUUUUUCAAGGACUCAUCCUCCGAUGAGGAUGAAGAAAUCGAACUUGUGAUCGCUUUGUAUGGAGACACGAUGGCAAACUAAGAAGCCGAAGUGGGUACGGUCAGUGCCUUGUCAGCUUGUGCUUCUUCAGAACAAGCAAGCCGGUCAUGACAAGCUACUAGAUAACUACGUUGGUGAGAAUCCGGUAUAUGAUUAGACUUUUAGAAGAAUAUUCUGAAUGUUAAUGGGUUUUCUUCUUGCGCAUUGCUUGUGUUAUCGAAGAUCACUAUCUGUUCUUUCAACAAAGAAGAAAUGCAGCUGGUCAACAAGGUCACAGUAGUUUGAAAAAAAAAUGGUUGUGUGAAUGCUUGCAUAUGGUUGUCGAGCUGAUAUAUUGAUGAUUGGGUUGGAAUGGCAUAGAGUACUUGCAUUGAUAGUUUGAUUUUUUUUUUGUAAAGUCCGUCGUUGGGAUAUUCAGAGAAGAAUAGCUCCAACUUUUUUUUUGACAAAAAGACUGUAAGGAAACCCCUACAAUAUAAUUGGUGCAACAAAUCCAAAUUGUAAGUAUCAUGCCUUGAACCAAGGUGGGUGGGAGGGCAUCAACCUCCUUUCACCACUAUGCUAAGCCGUAGUCUGCAUCCGAGCACCAAAUGAAGAGGACACUGCAAGACUUUUUAGAUGGGUGCAUCGAAAGGCUUUCCAAGAAUGCUUGAAAGUAUCGAUUGCAUGCAUUAGAAGUGGAAGCUUUGCGCUGCAUGGACAAUUCAAAUGAAAGGGUAAAAAUCAACUACAAUUCUAAAAGGUGUGGCAUCAAAUGACAUGUGGCUUUGGCAAUCAUAUUUUGGAUUCCUAGGAUCUGACAAUUAUCAGAAUGUUCUGCAAAGAUCUCAUCUAUUUUCAAGGCUUUCAGUUGGAGAGCCACCUCCCGUGAAUUUUGAAAUCAAUGAGCGUCAAUACAACAUGGGCUACUCCCUUGCUGAUGGCAUAUAUCCGGCAUGGUCAACUUUUGUGCAGACUUGGAAGAGAAGAGUGAAUAUUCAUGAUCGUGAAGGUAUAUAUGUCCCGCCACUCCCGUCUUUUGACAACGCAAAUAUCUUCCCAAUCUCUCAUGGUACAAUGUCACACAAUGAUGUCAAUUGUUUGACCUGAGGUGACAUGGCACUCAUGAUCUUUUAGAUGCAGUCACCACAAAAACAACACGCACAUCCAACAAAAAGAAGCACAUGAAUGAUCUUCAAUAGAUCUGUAGAAAUUUAAACUGCAAAAUCAAUCUAGAAUCAAAUUCACAAAGCCUCAAUAUAGCUAAUCAACAAAUAUCCAGCGGCGGCUCCGAGAGACCCUCAAUUGCCGAUCUGUUCAUCGGUGGAAGAAUAACCUAAAUCAAAGCUACCCCUCCUACACUGUCAAGGUAGUACAAAUAACACUAAAAGUAAAUUUUACAUAUAGGUCCGUAGACCAGCUAGUGACGAAUACAAACAAUGGAGCAAGUUGAAGGCGUGCCAUCGUCAUCGCCCCUCCCUCUUUGGAGUCAGGCAAACAUUGUUGUAAUAGACAGUUGGGAAGUCUUCGUGUUAAGGCCCCAUAAGACCAGCGCACUAGAACAACAACCACCGCCAAUGAAGAGAGGUGUAGAACAGAAGGAUCCAACCUGUAGACACACAAACGUAGACGAACGGAGCAGAACCAGUCAAGUCCACCGAAGACAAACGCCGACCAGAUCCCAUGAGAUUCGUCGAAGAUAAACCUCCACACGCCUUCCAACGACGCUUGAAACAUCACUGGGACGGGGGCUAGGCGGGGAGGACCUUAUUCCAUCUUGAAGAAGCCGCCGACUCCUCGUCUUCUUAAGCACGGCAAAUACCCUAACAAAACUCAGAAGAGCACCUAAAAACGGAGCCCUCCCACUGGCAAGGGUCGGGAUCCACUGCGCCUUCAUGGUCCAAGGACCAUAGGAGAUGAGGAGGACCGACGGUGGCGCGAGAGACAGGGAAACCCUAGAUGUGAGUUCACAAGAGAGCAGGAACGAAGGGGUACUAGCAUCUACUAAAUUACUAAGCUCUCAAGAAUUGAAGCCUUGGAAGAGCUUGGAUGUUUUCUCUCUCCAAAUGGACCCCGUUUAAUUUGUUAGGGGGGGGGGGGUCAUUCAUGAAGUUCAUGAAUAUUUUUAAGCAUGUGGAUAUUUUUCAAUUUGCUAACUUUAUUUCAAAAUUAUAACAUUUUUUGUAAUCUUUAAAUUUUUGAAGGAAUGAUGAUUUUUAAUUUAUAUUUUUUAAAAAAAUUCAAGAUUUAGAAAAAACCGUGAACAGUGGGGGCUCGAACGGGCGGAAGCCGGAUGAAGGCAGUUGGGCAAUUGGCGAGUGACCGCCGAUUUUACAUCUCAUGUAGGUGGAGAUGCAAAUUUGCAUCUCGAGGUGUUGUAUUUUACAUCUCCGGGAGGCAGAGAUGUUUUUUUUGCAUCUAGAUCAUAUGUUGGAGGUGGGUUUUUAGGUCUCAGGGGUGCAAAAGUUAGUUAUUUUUGCCUCUACAUCAUCUAUUGGAUGCUCUAAGUGUUCUUCCUUAGUUGUUUUGCCAAGCUUUUUUUUGUCUUGAGCUUUUUUGACUUGUGUCUUGGCCAAGCUGCGUCGCCCCACUCUACGCUUGUCUGCUAGUUCGGAUGAGUUGUCAAACAUGGGUGCUCCUUUGUUGCAAACGCAGUCCUGAUGGAUGUCGAGGAGUUAAGGCCGAAAGCCCUACUCUACUCUUGUCAACGUGGGUGCUCCUUUGCUGGUGUUUUAUUAGGACGUACAUGCGACUAGAAUAGAGCAAAGAAAUAGCUGCUGCCAGCCGUAAGGCCUUCCCGUCAAAAAGGAAAGAAAAAGAAAAAAAGAAAUAGCUGCUGCCAUCUUCUGUACUUGGGUCAGAUUUUGUAAAUUGAGAACUACUGAGGAUUAAGAAGAAAUACUGAUUGCAAUUGUCCUGUGCCAUGGAAUAUUGGGAAAAAUAAUUGGCAUCGUCGAUUCGCUCUUUUGGUCACAUCACAUCUACGCCAUUGGCAACCAUAGGGUUUGCAACUACAAAUGGGGCCAAGACCGAGGCAGGGAUAGUGGGCCUUUAGCGUUGCCCAUGCUUAGCGAGCCUCUUCUCGUUCUUUGAAGACUUCCACUUCAUUAUCUGGGGCGAGGCGCGCUGGAGUCGGAUUGCUAAGUCGAAGAAGUUGGUCGGAACGUCAUCCCCUGGCCACAAUGUCAUAAAUAUCUCUUCCAUUGUUGGCUUGAUCAGAUUGAGCAGCUCGCCAAUUUGCUUCAGUCUAUCGGGGAGAAGGUCAAGCCGGCUGGUUUCUUGGAACUGCGACCAGAAAGCCCGGAGUAUUUCCUGCUCAGGAUCAUUGAGCUCUUGAUAGUACUUGUGGGCGCUCGCAGCACUCUGGGGCAGGUCGGCGAAGAUCUCUGCGUGGUGCCAAAUCUGAGUUAGCGCGGCAUAGCUAUUGCUUCCAAAUCGACAUUGGAGAAGAUAUGGUUGACCAGCGACAAUCUGCUUGGCUUGCUCUACUUCGUCUCGAGCAUUGCGACGGACGAGGUUGGAUUCCUUCAGACUAUACUCGAGCAGUUUAAUUUGGUCACCCAGUCUGGUCUUCUCAGCCUUCAGCUGGUCACACUCAGUCUGGCUCUUCUUGACCUCCUGCUGAAGUAGGUCGGAUGCAUCCCGGGCGGCCUGGCACGCCUCUUGUUCUUGCACAAGUUUGGCAGUAGUCUUUUGGGCCUCUUUUUGGAUGUCGUGGAGCUGUUGGUUGCUAGAAUUGAGCUGGUUCCUCAACUCGGUCAUACGCCUUUCAACUACUGCAUUCAAGUUUGGAGGUGGUCAGCACAAAUUUUGCAAAUAUGCAAGUUAUAUAUGGAAGGAGUUGCCGUAGGAAUAGUCGAGCUUACCCAUGGAAUCACUAAGAGUUUUGGAGAGAUUUUCAUUCUUAUGCUCGGCUUCGGCGAGUAGUGUCUUGAGCCGGGCUAUCUCGUUCUCCAAACGCUUGUUGUCCCGAGCUGCAGCCUGUAUAAAAAAAUUCCAAGUUACAGGAAGGUUAACAUGGAUAAGGCCUCCUACUAAGAGAAAUUGAUCCCCAGGCCGACCUUUGCAGCCCGACACGAGUCUUGAGGGCUACUGGAUUUGCGUUAAUUCAAAGGUAGCUAGUACGUGUUACUCUAAGAAGAUUCAAUCCUAAGGUCGGUUUGCUAAAGCAACCUAAGUCUUGAGGGUUACUGCACAUCGGUUUAAUCUAAGUUUGAGUUUUACGAGGAGAGUAUCGACCCUCAAACCAGCCCUCCAGCCCGAUCUGAGUCUUGGGGGCUAUUGGAUCACUGAUUUUGACUAAAAAAAUCUAUUCCCGAGGAGAUUUUGAUUUUGAUUCCCAAGGUGGACAUUCUGCCUCGCUUGUGUCUCGGGGGCUAAUGCACAAUUGUUUUAUCUUAGUCAAAAUUAAGACGAACUACAACCCAAUUUGUGUUAAACCGGACUCCAGCUCGGGGGCUAGCGUGCACGAAAGUGCUAAGUUGAGAUACAUGACUCAUGGUGCAGACCGGAUUUAGUUCUGGGCCGCACCUUGAGAGCUACUGGCUAUACAUCUAUGUAGAAAUCAGAUGCAUAAGUAAAAUUACCUCCAUCCCAGGACCAAAGGCGCCCGUCAUCCGUAUAACGCCGAGCUGCAUCUCGUGGGCCUUGUCAUUCAGGUACUUCAUCGCAUCUCGCUGGGCCUCAUUCAGGUAAUGGUUGACCCUCGAUUUCUGGACUUCCCAACGCCCCAAUACGGGCGCGACUUCUGAACCAUUGAUUGACAUCUCGCCAGGAGGCUGCUGGGUCAGGACCACAUUGCCCGAUGUGUUGGGGCCAGACAAUUGCAAGGGCAUGUCAUCUCCAAUGACUGUAUUGACUAGUGGCCCAUGGCGUAAGGUCGGGACAACGACUGGCGGCAGCGGCGGCGGUGCUUGGAGCUCUUGAGUUGAUGGAGCCGGGGAGUUAACCACCUCGACAUUUUCUUUAGGCCCGAUCUCCUGGUUAUCAAAUCCAGGAGCCCCGGGCUGGCCUUGUCCGUCUGCAUUAGCUGCAGGCGGGCUUCUUGAUGUGGCAUCUCCAGAUGGCGCCAUUUUCGACAUCGACUUGAUCUUUGAGAGUAUAGUGUUGUGGACUUGCUCUGUGUUUCUAAGGUAGGACAUGUGCUAGGCAGUAUAUAUAGCCAUCGACCAGGGGCUAUCGAAGGAUGAUAUUAAUUACAUUCAAUAAAUUUGAAAAAGGAAAUACACUAAUGCAUACAAUAAACACCAUUUUAUUUAUAGUGACAGUGCAACGCAUACUAUAAACCAUGACAUGUGCAAUUUAUUAUAAGAUUUCGCAGGGGUACAGGUAUAGUAUAUGUUGAAUGCCACAUUUAAUAUUACCCUUUUUUGGCUUUCCACUAUCUGGCUCAUAAUCACCUACCAUAUGCAAAGGUUUCUACCCGUUGCGGAGAGGCUGACCUGCAGCUCAUUUUUCGUCAUGAGAAAACGACGAGCAAAGACGAAAAAUGCCAUGAAACAAAAAAUAAUAAUCUCGAGAACCUUCGGUGCUUUCAGUGUGACAUGCUUAAUUUGCCACAGGCUUUUCUUUUUGCAUUUUUGGCGCAGCUUACAUGAAGAAAAACUGUGGACGAAUCGUGACCAGUUAAUAUAUGUUGUUUAGAAACUGUUUUGAAAUUUGAAAUUUAGAAAUUAGAAACCCUAGUUCUUGGGCUGUUUGCUCGGGUAAGAUGGGACCCAACAAGCAAAACGGGCUGAAUGUGUGUGCGUAAGCCCAACGUGAGAUGGUUGGGCCUUCCUUAUCCCUCGUCCCACUCCCACGGUCCCACCCACCUCUCUCCCUCCGUCCUCGUCCACACUCUCUCCUCGAUGUCGCCUAUCGCGGCGCACCGAGCCUCUCCGGCCAUGUGGUCCCCGCAGCCUCCGCCGCCCCGCCUCCAGCUCCGGCGACCGGCGGGGACGCCCCUUCACUCCUCGCGCCGCCUCAGCCGCAUCGCCGCAUCGCAGGAGGACCCGCUGACCGCGCUGACCCGCGUGCUGUGGGGCCGCGCGCUGCCGCCGUCGCAGCUCGUGCUCGCCGUGCGCCACGGCUGGACCUCGGCGUGGCGGCUCCUCAUGCGCCAGCUCGCGCCCUCCGACCCGGCCACGGGCGCCUUCACCCGCACCCCGUCCCGCUUCCCGGCCGUCGCGCAGCCCGCGCCCGUCCCCGGCGCGCGCCUCCACCUCUACGUCGGCCUUCCCUGCCCCUGGGCCCACCGCGCGCUCCUCGUCCGGGCCCUCCUCGGCCUGGGGCCCCGCCUCCCCGUCUCCGUGGCCGUCCCGGGCGACGACGGCGCGUGGUCCUUCACGCCGGAGAGCCCCGACGCGCUCUACGGCUCCCGCAGGCUCCGGGACGUGUACGCCGCCCGGCGCGGCGGGUACGAGGGCCGGGCGUCCGUGCCCAUGCUCUGGGACGCCGACCGCCGCGAGGUGGUCUGCAACGAGAGCAUCGAGAUCGCCAAGUUCCUCUGCACGCUCGUGGACGACGGCGCCGGAGGCCUCGACCUCUGGCCGCCGGAGCACCGCGAGGAGAUCGACCGCUGGUACGGCGUCAUCUACCCGAGCGUCAACAACGGCGUGUACCGGUGCGGGUUCGCGCAGAGCCAGGCGGCCUACGACGCGGCGGCGGGCGAGCUGUUCGACGCGCUGGACAUGCUCGAGGACCACCUCUCCGGGUCCCGGUACCUGUGCGCCGGCGCCGGCGUGACGCUGGCCGACGUGUGCCUCUUCACCACGCUCAUAAGGUUCGACCUGGUGUACAACCCACUGUUCCGGUGCAGCCGGAGGAAGCUGGUUGAGUACCCCAGCCUCCACGCCUACAUGCGGGAGAUCUACCAGUUGCCCGGCGCCGCCGAGACCUGCGACAUGGCCGCCAUCGCCGACGGGUACUUUGGGACGCUCUUCCCGCUCAACCCCGGCGGGAUCCUGCCCGUCGUGCCGGCGAGCUGCAGCCGGGAGGCCCUCAUGAAGCCUCAUGGCAGAGAGGCAAUGCCUUCUGUUGCUGCUGCUGCUGCUGAUGGUAGGCAGCUAGGAGCGGCUGCUAGUGUUGUUGGCUAGGAUUACAGAGUGUAGCUGAAUUGUGUAGCACAUCAAAUUACUUACUGAAUAAUACCUUGGUACAUAUAGAGGAUGAAACAAAAUGGCAGACUAUUACUGUGACCGAGAGUUUCAUGUCAUAUAAAUGCUUUAUUAGCAAUAUAUUCUGUUGGUCGAAAGACUGAUACAUUGACAACAAUGUGAGGAAGAUUCAAGAACCUUCUACUAGUAAAUAUUGUGUAUGGCAUACUGGUCUCCAUACAUUUACAUCCAGUCAUGAUGCUAAUAAUAAUAAGGCAGUCAGGCCCUUUUACUUCAGAUAAUCGUAGCUCGUCGCUGAUAGUUCAGAUUGUAUCAUAACAUCGAUGCCCAAGGUGUCAGUCCUUGCUACAUGGUCGUUUCAAAAGGCUUGCAACUGCGAAGCGAUAAAAUGUAAGUUUUAGAACCAAGGAUUCUCACUGAGGACAUUGUAUAUAAAAACAUGCAUCUGGAAAAUAGAAAGUACGGAAAGACUGCUGGGUAGAGGUAAAUAUUACCAUUGUCAUGAUUUGGUAUCACCCUCUUCUGUUUCCAUGUAAAGUUUGUGCUCUCUAAUGUACUCGAUUACUUCAUCGCAAGUAAGAUACUUUAUUGAGAGAUGUUUUCUUAUACAUUCUCUGCAAUUUGAUAAAUGAAUACAGGAAUCAACAAUGAUACAUCAAAUAAAUGAAAAACUGAAGGUAGUAAUAGCAUCUAAUUAUACAGGAAGCAACAUAGAUAAAAAUGUCACCUUACUCUAGAUGAACUGAUCUGAUUUGGCACAAUCUCAUCAACCGAAAUGAUGUUAUCCUGAAAAACAUACAUGGGGAAACACACAUGUGAGUAAAAAUCAUCAGUCAGUCGGGUAAGUAAGCUCCUCAAGCUAGAAGUUUCUCACCCUGCAUUCUUGCAGUGUCUCGCUGCUGGAUAUUAGCUUUUGAACAUCUUUUCCUUCCCUACGUAUACAAACAACACCAAAGUCUUUACAUAUGGCCCUGACCUGGAAACAGAAAAGGUUGUGCAUCAAAGUUACUUCUUCGAUAAGGGCAAUUCAAACAACAAUUAAAUAGGACACUGUGAUUUAUAAAUAAGGGGUGCACAAAUUUUGUAUGUCGAAUUGUGGAUACCAAAAAAUGUUCAAGUUUUAUACCUGAUCUGGAAUCCAAACCCCUGGCGUGCUGAAUGACUCCAGAAGGUCAGAACCACAUAACAGCAUUACCCUGACAUCACCUGAGAGAAAAUGCAUGUUGUAAAGGACGGAUUUAUAUACAGGGCAAAUGCACCGACACAUUUGAAUGAUCACUGAACAGUGUGAGAGAAGGUAUUACUGUAUUGCAACAAAAAAUCUUGCCAUAUACCUUGAUCAGCUAAGCUGUCCUUGCACAGAGAAUUCGCAACCCUCGAGAGAACGGUCAAGGUGCGCUGAUAACCUUUCUGCAUUGCCUGUAUCAAGACACAAGAAUGUGUGCAUCAAAUACCCACAUCAUCCAAACUGAAAAUACAUUAUGUGACAGCGCAAAAUGAAAAAUGAGGUUACCUCCCACGGAUCAACCAUCACAAAAGAUGAGCUUCCACACGCCAAUUCGCAGAGGCGAACCCGGUGAGCAGCGGGCAAGAGGUCCUAACCAGCCCCAAAUUGCGAAUUCAGUCACGAGAACGGCGUCAACCGUGAACACAAAUCGAUACACAUUUCCAGUUCAUAGUACCUUCUUCUUAUACGCAUCGUUCACCGGGGACAUGUACCCACCCAAAACACAGUACCCUCGCUGCUGCAACUCAUCCUUCGCCAACUCUAUAUGAACGAAACACAUCAAAAGAUGGGGUAAGAGGUACUCUUCUCACUUUGCUGAUCCCAUUCUUAGGCUGUUCUUGAGACUUACUAGUACUAAACACAGUACCACACUGAAUCACUGAUAGGUGCAGCAGAUUAGCAAGUGUUGAUUGAGGCUUACCGAACAUGCGCAGGUGCAUGUAGGUGGGGGGAUUGAAGCUGCCGGUGGCCACCAGCACAACGCCGCCUCGGCUUCCCCCAUCCCUGCCGUCAUCAAGAAACGAACGGGGGAUCAGUCCAGCUAUACGCAUCAAGCAACCCAAGAAAAUCCGAGAGCAGAUUCUCUUCUUUCUGCUUACCGAUUUGGAUCCAUGGAGAGCUUCUCCGUGGGGAAGGGGAGAGGAGCUUCCGCCUCCUCCAUGGCCGCCCUCUGCAAAUCCUCAGCCGAGCCGAGCUGAUCUCUCGCUGCGGUUCUCUCUUCCUGCGGUGCGCCGUCGGCGGGAGGCCGGCAAUCCGGCCGGCGUGCGCUGGAGCAAGAUUCCCAAGUAGGAGGCUUUUUUUUAGAAUGCUGGACUCUGCGUGCCCGUGUGGGUGGGCAUCGCGAUAUGGGCCUUGUUGGGCCGCCGUGGUCAUGCCCAGGGGCCCCGCUAGAAUAAUAACAAACAGGUCCACGGAGAGAUGCAGCCUAUCAAACGGGCCGGGCCCAUGUGGCCUUGGGCAGCCCCGCGCGGCUCUAUAAAGCCGCCUCCUCGAGCCGCUAGGUUUUGGUGCUCUCUUCUUCCUCCUCUCCUCCUCCCUCGGCGGCGGCGCAGGCGGCGCGGAGGCGACAGGCGAAGGCGAAAUGGUGAGCGGAUCGCCGCGGCUCCGGCGGAGGCCUCCUCCCUCCGCGGCGCUCCUUCUCGUCUAGAUAGAUGGAUCUCGAGUUCUGACUGUUCCUUUGCUGUUGUUCUUGCGCAGACGAAGGGAACGGGCAGCUUCGGCAAGCGCCGGAACAAGACCCACACGCUGUGCAUCCGCUGCGGCCGCCGCAGCUUCCACCUGCAGAAGAGCACCUGCUCCUCGUGCGGCUACCCCGCCGCCCGCAUCCGCAAGUGUAAGUCCCGCGGCCAGAUCCCCUUCCCCUAUCUUAGCACGCGAUUCCGGUCCGUCGACCUAGCUGGUUUAGGUAGAUGUGUUGCUUGGUUCUCGUAUGUGCUGCCUGCGCGAGGCCGUGAUUGCUUAGGUUUUCGGUGCUGUUGGGGUAGCCCCGUCGCUGUUGCCUAGAAUCGCAUGCAUGCUAGCUCUGUGGCUCGACGUGGUACGCCUGUGGCUUGAUGUGCCGUAGUUUUUAUCUGGUUCUAAUUUGUGAUGAGUAGUUCUUGUUUGAUACGAUGUGUUAGCCUUUGAUCAUAAGCAUGAUAGUUUGAAGAUGCUGGGAAUGACUGUAAAAAGGAAUUCCUGCAAGACCCAACUCUAGUUAUGAAUUGUCAUAUAAGUAUCUUACCUAGCUCUGUUACACCUCUGAUAGAUGUUCAGCAACUAGAGCUAUUAAUAAGGUGGAUGACUUGGCUGUUUGUUCACAUGUAUCAUCGAUCUUAAAAUUUAAGAUGUUCAUCCUGUUCUAAGCAGUACACAUUUGUAGCCAGCCUUUAGUGAUGAAGUUUUAGUUAGUGCAGGGCAGUUAAGAUUGAUUGUCAUAUUGCUCUCACUGUCUUCUUAUAAGUUAAAGCACAUCUCUCAUUUAGUAAGUGUUAUGUUUCUUCUGCAUCUGAUAAGAUUCUGUCUUGAAAAACAGACAACUGGAGUGUGAAGGCCAUCAGGAGGAAGACCACCGGCACCGGGAGGAUGAGGUACAUGCGCCAUGUGCCCAGGAGGUUCAAGAGCAACUUCAGAGAG